RNAcentral lists this ribosomal RNA (353 nucleotides) under Heterosigma akashiwo. RNAcentral describes it as "partial Bacterial small subunit ribosomal RNA". It matches the Rfam family "Bacterial small subunit ribosomal RNA", at positions 1047 to 1399 of the family's 1533-position model. Lineage: Eukaryota; Raphidophyceae; Chattonellales; Chattonellaceae. The record is from RNAcentral.
GGCUGUCGUCAGCUCGUGGCGUGAGAUGUUGGGUUAAGUCCCGUAACGAGCGCAACCCUUGUCCUUAGUUACCAGCACGUUAUGGUGGGCACUCUAAGGAGACUGCCGGUGACAAACCGGAGGAAGGUGGGGAUGACGUCAAGUCAUCAUGGCCCUUACGGCCUGGGCUACACACGUGCUACAAUGGUCGGUACAAAGGGUUGCUACCUAGCGAUAGGAUGCUAAUCUCAAAAAGCCGAUCGUAGUCCGGAUUGGAGUCUGCAACUCGACUCCAUGAAGUUGGAAUCGCUAGUAAUCGUGGAUCAGCAUGCCACGGUGAAUACGUUCCCGGGCCUUGUACACACCGCCCGUCA